ACGACAUUUUUAAUGUCGUGGUGUCGGGUGAAAAUGUGGUAGUGUCGGGUUAACAAUGUCGGGUUGUCGUGGUGUCGGGUUAUAAUGUCGUGAUGUCGGGUUGUCGCCUUAUGAAGGGCGACAUCACGACAUGAUACCAAUCAGCCACCAUACUUUACUGCUUCACCCUGUUUAUUAAUAUGACUAAUUUUCAUUAUCAUUUUUGGAAAAGCUUCGUUCGAAGACGUCCCCCCCCCCCUUUCAUUCUAUUAGUAAUGUAAAGUGCAAGAGGACCGCACCACAAACACACAAGAUAAUACAAGUAAUAAUAUCAAAUUAUGUGAAUGGACAUCAACAUUUUUUAGUUCUAAGAACUUCUAAUAAUUAUUUCCAAAUUGAAAUAUAUUAAUCUACUACUAUAAAUUGUUAUUACAGGUAAUUAGUUAUGCGGCGCAGAGAAGGUUUGAAUUAUAAGUGUGGGCCCCGGGAUGGGGGGAGGGUCAUUCGAGUAGCGUUCGUGACAAAUAUAUUUAGUCUCAAGCAGCCAGGGGAUCACGUGGCUAGGUGGUAAGACGCUGGUUCGCUAACCUGGAGGUCGGGUUUUCGAUCCCUGCAUUGGCCGAGAAUGUUCAUCCCGAUUUUUUGGCGUGGUUUCCCCCUUGUCAGUGAUGCAGGACGGAGGGCCUGACAAGGACAGCUGUCUAGUCGUUCGGAUGGGACGAAAACGAAAAACUGAGGUCCCGUGUACACAUUGGAGUGCACGUAAAAGAUCCGUUGGGAGUUGGAAUUCGAUAUUAAAGUAGGCCCUGGCAAAAUUUCCCUCAAAGCACACUGCAUGGGGUAUGUCCGUCUUCCUUAGCCCAGUUUAGGAGCAGAACAGUAGGACGCUAAACCCCAUUUCAUUUCAUUUCAUUUCUCAAGCAGCCAAAGGCAAACUGCAGAGGUACCAUACUCUUUUUUGCGUUAACAAACUAAACUCAUAUGGUUUUUUUUAUUUUAUUUAUUUAUAUGUAUAUAUUUUUGAGUGACAGAAAGAAUGCCCGAAUUUCAAUCAAUUACUUUCUAUAAUAUUCCAUAUUUUAACAGAAACACUACAAGCUAUGCCUUCGUGGGGCCCAGCCUGGAAUCAAUUGAAUAAAGAAGAAAAAAGUAGCUACCAAAAAAAAAAGCCAAAUCGAUUUGCCCUGUCAGCAGCAAAGAAGCUUUGAUCGGACAAAUUGCUUCUCUUAUGACAGAAUUAUCAAAUAAAUAUGGAGUUGAUUUGGUUUGUGUGGGUCAUGACCUCAACAGCCAAAUACAAUAUCUAUUUGGUGGAGGUAACCCGCGACCGUUAACCUUCACAAAUAAUUCCAAAGCAUAUCUUUCAAACCCAUAUGUCGACUGCUGCGCUGGAGUAGAUGGAGUCAACGUGACAAAUAAAUCUCUGAGUAAACAUCGACAAAACUUGAAAUAUAGGUUUAUCAAUCGGAACAAAAGCGGCUUCCCGUAUAAAUCAUACAGGGAAGGGAGAGUGGCCAUGGAUGGACUACCGAAAGACUUAGCACCCUUGAAACCGCCAUCUCAGUAUGGUUUAAAAAAACUAAAAACUAUUUUAUAAUGUAAGAAUUACAAAUGAUGACCUACAAACCGCUACCGUCACAGGUGUAGAAAGCAUCCUUGUAGACAGAACCUUAGAAUUAAACAGUGCAGUUACAAACAAAGAUAACAGAAGAUCAGCAUAAUUGAUAAGACCUUUAUUGAGAACAUGAAAUAGACAUAAAUCGGGAGGAUUCUAUUUCAAGUCUGACUUGCUGUCAGUAAACGACUGCUUAUAUAGCUUCUAACAAUUAGGGAAGAUGGACAGGAGUGAUAAUCAUAUAUGGUAUUGUUUAUUAUCAAAUUAUGGUGUCUGUAAUUACACUGCAUAUUUCUUUGGAAGUCAUUGUAAGGUAUGAUGCACUGACCACUAAUACAUUCUCUUUGAAGUUCUGUCUAGUGUUAUACACGGAUCACGUGUAGCUUGUAAAGAACAUAUUGAAUAAAUUAGAUGUUUGAUAAGAUCGUGCCUUAAAAAAAAUUUAUAGAGAGUUUAAACUUCAACUUCAGGUAUAGAUCACUUUGUCACAUUCCUUUCCCACCCACAGGCACCAUCUCCUUAAUUAACGUUGUUAUGUAACAUGCAUUAAAUACAAUACAAUAUCAAUACUUUAAAGCUCUAAAUAUGUCCAUUACAAUUUCAAGUCCUAAUUCUAAAAUAUUACACUGAUAUACAUGCUACAAUAUUAUAUAAGGUCAAUAUGAAUACUCGGUUAUACGUUCCAACAUAUUUAAAAAAAACACUGUUUCAAUGUCAAUAACACUACAUAAAUAUAAUAUGUUCUAUUCAUAGUCCUGUUUCUUGCACGGCUAAUUAGGUGAUCGUAAACACUUCUGCAAACUUCGCUUCAGAGCCAUAUCUUGAAUUUCCCGUUCUGGUUCGGCUUUGCUGUGCGUUAAGAUAGGGUACAAAAAAUCCCAUAAAUGACCAGUGUACUUGCUCAAUUAGACCAAUUACAAUUACAUUACCCUUUAUUUUAAUUGGAUGUGAUUAUAUCUUAAUAAUAUUCUUACACUUAAGUUUAUUUAAAAUUAAAAUUGUAUAUACUUCAUUGGGAACACAGCUGUAUUAAUCCUUAAUUCUAUUUACUUUUAACUGAAUAAACUAUUGACAAUAGAACUUAA
Long non-coding RNA from Patella vulgata (common limpet), 2679 nucleotides. RefSeq lists it as uncharacterized. The record is from RefSeq and is a predicted model, not a curated record. NCBI's taxonomy places the organism in Eukaryota, Metazoa, Mollusca, Gastropoda, Patellidae. The transcript has 7 exons.